Molecule: long non-coding RNA, 213 nt
Filed under: Lathyrus oleraceus (garden pea)
Lineage: Eukaryota; Viridiplantae; Streptophyta; Magnoliopsida; Fabales; Fabaceae
Description: Pisum sativum (pea) long non-coding RNA (PSAT_LNC015888)
Source: RNAcentral
UAAAUCAUCAACCACUGCUAUAUCAGAAUCAGUGAAGCUGUAGUGAGUGAUAUCCCUUGGAUUCUGAGAAAGCUUGUGAAGUCUUGUUUCUAAAAGGUAAUGUAAGACCUGAUCCUUUGAAGCAUCAACUUGUCUCUUGAAUAUUCACCUUGUAUGGGAUAUAGAGAGACCCUAUUUCUGUGCACUGAAAGGUCAGAAACUGGGUCUGUGAGA